This is an RNA transcript of Armigeres subalbatus, 1490 nucleotides long. RefSeq lists it as uncharacterized. The transcript is spliced from 2 exons. Lineage: Eukaryota; Metazoa; Arthropoda; Insecta; Diptera; Culicidae. The record is from RefSeq and is a predicted model, not a curated record.
UUAGCUAAAUUACAACUAAAACCUUAAAUUGUAUCAUAACAAUUUGGCGACGAGGAAAACCAGUAUCACCGUAUCGAUACGAUUAAAGCAGUUUUAAAUAAAUAUUGAAAACUGUGGGUAAGUUUGUUCAGAGUUUCUUUGAAGUUAGGUAAGAUUCAAGGAAACUUGUGCCGCAGACAGUUGUUUCUGGCCAAAAACAACUGUUGAGCGAAGAUAGAUCUGCGCGAUUUAGCAUAUAUCAGCUACCAGAUUGUGUUUUACGUAUUCUAAAAUUGUGAAAAAAAAAUUAAUUACUGGAUUAUUGGCGUUGUACUAACUCCAUUUUGUUUUACUUAUAUCUUUCAAUAGGCAGUAUUCUCUUUGUAUGCGGCGCUCUUGGUGGAGCACUCACUAAACUAGGAAAGCGACCAAAUUCUUUGAUGGAGUGAGAUCCGUUCUAACGCUUAGUUGACAUUCAAAUUCAAGUUAGCUGAGGCCGACAGAAGAGAGCGAAAUCUAAUAAGACUGGAAGUGAGAUACGCAUCGGAUAUCUUAGUGAGAAAGAAGCAAAGAUAAAAGUGAGAAGUGAGAAGCUGUAUGCACUUCUGCAUUAGUCGGUUGGUGCGGCCGAUGAAUCUGUUGCUUGCUGUUGUUGUUGUGAAAUUCUGCUGUUGCUGCUGUUGAAAAGUCAGACGUUUGGUUCAAUCGUUGGGACUUGAAUGCUGGAUCGUUGAAUUUCGUUGGACGGUUAGGAAUAUUCAUCUAGUAGAAAGCACUACCGAGUAAACUCGAUCGGUUGUUUGGGACGUAAGUUGCGGUAUCCAUUUCGGUUGGUAACCACGUCACUACGGCACACAAGAAUCAGUUGAAGAUGAUAUACGUUCCCAAACAACGAUCGAAAGUAUACGUCACAAUGAGAGAGGCUGCCAAGAAACGCAAGCGAGGAUCUAUCGAGGACGAAGAUGAAUUCACGGGCUUUCCUGAUAUACCGUCGGUCGCUGAAGAUGCGGGGCAUACUAAUAAAAAGUAUGCCCAAACAAGGAGUCCGAUCAUUACUCGAUCUAAAGCAGCCUUGUCUACGAAUUAUAGUGCAUCUGAUUCCUAAAUUUUGUAAAUGGCGUGAAGAAAGAAAUUUUCUAUGAAUUUGGCAUUGUUAUGCUAUCAGAUAAGUUAUUUCAUUUAGUUAUUAUAGAAUUUAUUUGAAAUUGAUGAAUGUUUGCACUACACUGCUAUCAGAAUGUUUAAUCUAAACUAGUCGAUUCAUGAAUGAAUUGUCUUGAAGAAGGGAGAAUUGUAAUGUUGGCCUAAACGAUAAGAUCUAAAAUGGAACUUCGAAUCAUAUAUAUAUUUAUCAUCAAUUGAACUCAGUGUACUACAUACUCACCACAUUUGUACUCUCUCUCAUGAUUAAUAAAAAGAUAUGAUCAGUCGAUCUUCAGCCGUACUCUGUGCGGAGACAAAAACGUGAGCUAAAGGUAUUUUUUAUUAAAGCGAAUUCAAAGUGUCUUAUU